RNAcentral lists this ribosomal RNA (804 nucleotides) under Escherichia coli. RNAcentral describes it as "partial 23S ribosomal RNA". It matches the Rfam family "Bacterial large subunit ribosomal RNA", at positions 434 to 1239 of the family's 2925-position model. Lineage: Bacteria; Pseudomonadati; Pseudomonadota; Gammaproteobacteria; Enterobacterales; Enterobacteriaceae. The record is from RNAcentral.
CUGUCUGAAUAUGGGGGGACCAUCCUCCAAGGCUAAAUACUCCUGACUGACCGAUAGUGAACCAGUACCGUGAGGGAAAGGCGAAAAGAACCCCGGCGAGGGGAGUGAAAAAGAACCUGAAACCGUGUACGUACAAGCAGUGGGAGCACGCUUCGGCGUGUGACUGCGUACCUUUUGUAUAAUGGGUCAGCGACUUAUAUUCUGUAGCAAGGUUAACCGAAUAGGGGAGCCGAAGGGAAACCGAGUCUUAACUGGGCGUUAAGUUGCAGGGUAUAGACCCGAAACCCGGUGAUCUAGCCAUGGGCAGGUUGAAGGUUGGGUAACACUAACUGGAGGACCGAACCGACUAAUGUUGAAAAAUUAGCGGAUGACUUGUGGCUGGGGGUGAAAGGCCAAUCAAACCGGGAGAUAGCUGGUUCUCCCCGAAAGCUAUUUAGGUAGCGCCUCGUGAAUUCAUCUCCGGGGGUAGAGCACUGUUUCGGCAAGGGGGUCAUCCCGACUUACCAACCCGAUGCAAACUGCGAAUACCGGAGAAUGUUAUCACGGGAGACACACGGCGGGUGCUAACGUCCGUCGUGAAGAGGGAAACAACCCAGACCGCCAGCUAAGGUCCCAAAGUCAUGGUUAAGUGGGAAACGAUGUGGGAAGGCCCAGACAGCCAGGAUGUUGGCUUAGAAGCAGCCAUCAUUUAAAGAAAGCGUAAUAGCUCACUGGUCGAGUCGGCCUGCGCGGAAGAUGUAACGGGGCUAAACCAUGCACCGAAGCUGCGGCAGCGACACUAUGUGUUGUUGGGUAGGGGAGCGU